Molecule: long non-coding RNA, 760 nt
Organism: Suricata suricatta (meerkat)
Lineage: Eukaryota; Metazoa; Chordata; Mammalia; Carnivora; Herpestidae
Exons: 2
Source: RefSeq, a predicted model, not a curated record
AGCCAGAGGUGCAGGCACAGUGGUCCUUUAUACCAGGACCUCAGAGAAGACCCCUGAUAUCCGUGUAUGAUAAGCAGGACAGAUACCAGACACGAGCCACCCAGAUGAGGCCUCCAGCCCUGCUCCCCAACCCUGACCUGAGAAUGGAAGGCGGGGCAGCUCCUGCUGGAGAAAGGAAGGACACGGGUUCUGGUCCUGGGAACGCAAGGUCAUAGGAAAUACUUGAUGGAGUGUUAGCAAAACGUCUGGACUUCAAGGGAUAUGAGAGAAGAAGAUCCCAGGAGGUACAAGCAGAGAGAUUACAGACACCAAGUUUCAAAUAUUCUCUGCCCUCGUUUUAUGACUCAACAUACAAUAGGAUAGUGGGUGUUACUGGAAACCAUAAAGAAUAUUCUAUUCUUACAUAAAGAUUGUACUUCCUAAUUCUAAGUAAACAAGGCCCGUUGAGUUUCUAGAAAAGAAGGAUAAUCCUCAUUUGGAAGAACCCGAGGCCUCCUUGGAAGAAGUAAACCUGGUGAGUUAGGAAGGCCUUGAAUUGUUGUCUAUAUUAACUACUAACAGUUGCCAUGAAUAAUCCAUAAACGUGAGAACAGGUCUCUGUGGGGGACUCCUGUUGUAGCUCUCCAGCAGACUUGGUCCCUGCGACCCCUGCAUCAGUCAGACCCACACUGAGCCCGUGAUGAAGAGCUUCAAGUAGGCUGAAGCAUCUGAAAAUGUAUGAAAGACAAAGCUGCAAAUAAAGAUACUAUCUAACCUCUUA